This 429-nucleotide ribosomal RNA is filed under the name uncultured bacterium. RNAcentral describes it as "bacterial SSU rRNA". It matches the Rfam family "Bacterial small subunit ribosomal RNA", at positions 64 to 524 of the family's 1533-position model. The record is from RNAcentral.
GAACGCGAAAGUGGUGCAUCCAUGAGUAAAGUGGCGCACAGGGUGAGUAACACGUGACUAACCUACCCUUGAGUGGGGGAUAACCUAGGGAAACCUGGGCUAAUACCGCAUAAUACCUACGGGUCAAAGGAGCAAUUCGCUUAAGCGAGGGGGUCGCGGCCGAUUAGUUAGUUGGCGGGGUAAUGGCCCACCAAGACGAUGAUCGGUAUCCGGCCUGAGAGGGCGCACGGACACACUGGAACUGAAACACGGUCCAUACUCCUACGGGAGGCAGCAGUGGGGAAUUUUGCGCAAUGGGGGAAACCCUGACGCAGCAACGCCGCGUGGAGGAUGAAGUCCCUUGGGAUGUAAACUCCUUUCGAUCGGGACGAUUAUGACGGUACCGGAAGAAGAAGCCCCGGCUAACUUCGUGCCAGCAGCCGCGGUAAU